GACAGGGGUGCCGUCUAUGGCGGCUGAGAUCAUACCCUUUAACCUGAUCCGGUUCGUACCGGCGUAGGGAGUUGGCU
This 77-nucleotide non-coding RNA is filed under the name uncultured Butyricicoccus sp. Its description in RNAcentral is "TPP riboswitch (THI element)". It matches the Rfam family "TPP riboswitch aptamer (THI element)", at positions 9 to 90 of the family's 105-position model. From Rfam's summary of the family: Vitamin B(1) in its active form thiamin pyrophosphate (TPP) is an essential coenzyme that is synthesised by coupling of pyrimidine and thiazole moieties in bacteria. The previously detected thiamin-regulatory element, thi box was extended, resulting in a new, highly conserved RNA secondary structure, the THI element, which is widely distributed in eubacteria and also occurs in some archaea. Lineage: Bacteria; Bacillati; Bacillota; Clostridia; Eubacteriales; Butyricicoccaceae. The record is from RNAcentral.